GGGGGCAACCCCUUGAGAGUGGCGAACGGGUGAGUAAUGUAUCGGAACGUGCCCAGUCGUGGGGGAUAACGUAGUGAAAAUUACGCUAAUACCGCAUACGAUCUAUGGAUGAAAGCGGGGGAUCGCAAGACCUCGCGCGAUUGGAGCGGCCGAUAUCAGAUUAGGUAGUUGGUAGGGUAAAGGCCUACCAAGCCAACGAUCUGUAGCUGGUCUGAGAGGACGACCAGCCACACUGGAACUGAGACACGGUCCAGACUCCUACGGGAGGCAGCAGUGGGGAAUUUUGGACAAUGGGCGAAAGCCUGAUCCAGCCAUUCCGCGUGCAGGAUGAAGGCCCUCGGGUUGUAAACUGCUUUUGUACAGAACGAAAAGGUUUCUAUUAAUACUAGGAGCUCAUGACGGUACUGUAAGAAUAAGCACCGGCUAACUACGUGCCAGCAGCCGCGGUAAUACGUAGGGUGCAAGCGUUAAUCGGAAUUACUGGGCGUAAAGCGUGCGCAGGCGGUUAUAUAAGUCAGAUGUGAAAUCCCCGGGCUCAACCUGGGAACUGCAUUUGAGACUGUAUAGCUAGAGUACGGUAGAGGGGGAUGNANUUCC
RNAcentral lists this ribosomal RNA (597 nucleotides) under uncultured bacterium. Its description in RNAcentral is "bacterial SSU rRNA". It matches the Rfam family "Bacterial small subunit ribosomal RNA", at positions 75 to 670 of the family's 1533-position model. The record is from RNAcentral.